This 78-nucleotide transfer RNA is filed under the name Candidatus Bathyarchaeota archaeon. RNAcentral describes it as "tRNA-Asn". It matches the Rfam family "tRNA". From Rfam's summary of the family: Transfer RNA (tRNA) molecules are approximately 80 nucleotides in length. The record is from RNAcentral. Lineage: Archaea; Thermoproteati; Candidatus Bathyarchaeota. RNAcentral also lists the same sequence under 1 other name.
GCCGCCGUAGCUCAGCACGGUAGUAGCAGCUGGCUGUUAACCAGUUGGUCGUCGGUUCAAAUCCGACCGGCGGCGCCA